RNAcentral lists this transfer RNA (88 nucleotides) under Bacteroidales bacterium. RNAcentral's name for it is "tRNA-Leu". It matches the Rfam family "tRNA". Rfam says of the family: Transfer RNA (tRNA) molecules are approximately 80 nucleotides in length. The record is from RNAcentral. Lineage: Bacteria; Pseudomonadati; Bacteroidota; Bacteroidia; Bacteroidales.
GCCUUGGUGGUGGAAUUGGUAGACACGCGGGACUUAAAAUCCCGUGGCCAUUAUGGCCUUGCGGGUUCAAGUCCCGCCCGGGGUACCA